This 301-nucleotide ribosomal RNA is filed under the name uncultured bacterium. RNAcentral's name for it is "partial 16S ribosomal RNA". It matches the Rfam family "Bacterial small subunit ribosomal RNA", at positions 509 to 807 of the family's 1533-position model. The record is from RNAcentral.
CAGCAGCCGCGGUAAUACAGAGGGUGCAAGCGUUAAUCGGAAUUACUGGGCGUAAAGCGCGCGUAGGUGGUUUGUUAAGUUGGAUGUGAAAUCCCCGGGCUCAACCUGGGAACUGCAUCCAAAACUGGCAGGCUAGAGUAGGGCAGAGGGUGGUGGAAUUCCCUGUGUAGCGGUGAAAUGCGUAGAUAUAGGAAGGAACACCAGUGGCGAAGGCGACCACCUGGGCUCAUACUGACACUGAGGUGCGAAAGCGUGGGGAGCAAACAGGAUUAGAUACCCCCGUAGUCCCUGUCUCUUAUAC